CCUGGGAGCACGGACUGCCCUUGCAGAGCCAGGACGAGAGGCAUCGGUGUGGUUGGAGGACAAACACUUUGUGAAGUGACAGCGAGAGCUCCAGCUGCAAAUAGAGGAAAUCAGAUUAGAAACCCAGGAGCAGCGGCUCCAGAAACAUCCCUGCUGCAUGGGGACAGCGCGGGGACAGCACAGCGCGGGGAGGGUGGCACAGCCGCUGGCCCCGCUCUGUGACGGAUGAGUUGUCAGAGGCAGCCGACAGCUCACACUGCUGCCAUGGGGCUCAAUGUGACCCCCGAAGCGCCACGCGAGUGACAGCUCUGGGGCCGGUGGCACCGCGUCCCUGCGUGGGGACAGAGCAGCUGUGGGACGUGACUGCGUCCCUUAGAGCCACAUCCACACCUCCCCUGAACGCCUCCGGGGAUGGGGCUGCCAACGCUUCCCUUUGCAGCCGCUUCCAGGUCUUGACCAGCCAAUGGUCAAUGUAAACCUCCCCUGGUGCGACGUGGGGUUGGGAUCAUCCAGGCUGGGGAAGACCUUCAUGAGAUCAUGGAGUCAUAGGGUUAUCCAGAUUGGAAAAGAACUUCAUGAGAUCAUGGAAUCAUUGAGGUUGGAAAGACCUUCAUGGCAUCAUGGAAUCACUGAGGAUCUUCAUGACAUCAUGGAAUCAUCGAGGUCGGAAGAGACCUUCAUGAUGUCAUGAAAUCACCUAGGCUGGAAAGACCUUCAUGACAUCAUGGGAUCAGAUUGGAGAAGACCUUCACGAGAUCAUAGAACCACGGAAUCACUGAGGCUGGAAAAGACCUCUACGUUCACCAAGUCCAACCGUUGACCCGUCACCACCAUGCCCACUGCGCCAUGUCCUGCUGUGCACAAAGAAAGCUUUGGAUGCCACAGAAAUGCAGGGAUGGCCACCAGCCCACCAUCACAUGAGCUGUCAUGGAGGCUCCCAGCUGUGCAGACCCAUCCCCUCCACUGCCCCCCAUGGUGGGGUGCCCAGCCCAGGCAGCUCUAGCUCACAAAGGGUGGGGAAUGUGGGGGCAUUCAGGGCUUUUUCCUCCUUCUAUUGGGAAAUCUUCCACUAGGAAUCUUCCCAUGGAGGUCUGAGGAUUCCCGGUGCCUCGGUCUGAAGACCCAAGGCAAGGUGCUGGGGAG
This is a long non-coding RNA of Gallus gallus (chicken), 1143 nucleotides long. NCBI's taxonomy places the organism in Eukaryota, Metazoa, Chordata, Aves, Galliformes, Phasianidae. The record is from Ensembl.